AAACAGAGGAGCCAGAGCGCUCAGAGACUUACCCUUAUGUGAUGGACAAGUGAGGAAAGAAAGAAAUUUUGCUGCUAGGAAAAUAGAACCGGCUUUCUGCUCAUCCGCUGAUGUCGGCUUUAUCGUGACGACCCUUUUCCUUCCCAGAGCAGGGAAUUUCUGCCUCCCCAAUCCCAAACAGCUGCUGGGAGAUCAUGAGCCCCAAGUUACUGCCUGUCCUGAUUCAACCCCCACAUCACAAGCGCCAAUAACAGAGCUCACAUCCUCCUCACAGACACACGGACACAGUUGAAGCAACCACCUCCACUCUUCCCAGAAGGCUGGGCCAGGGAAUCGCAACAUGGAGGGUAAUGAAUUCUCUCAGUAGGAAGAAGAGGAUUCUUGUUUGUUAAUCAAGUCAUGUCCUUGGUGAAUUCCACAGCUGGGGUCCCCAUGAUCUAGGACACAUGGGAGACCCUUUCUCCUUUUCCGGGACUCUGGGGGAGGUGACCUUCACAGCACUUGCCUUUUAUUUUGUUUUCCCAAGAUUGAUUGAUUUCAGAGAGUGCGAGAGCAGGGGGAGGGGCAGAAGGAGAGAGAGAGAAUCCCAAGCAGACUCCCUACUGAGCGUGGAGCUCGGUGGCGGGGCUUGCUCUUAAGAUGCAUGAGAUCAUGACCUGAGCUGAAAUCACGAGUCUGUUCGUGUAACCAACUGAGCCCGCCAGGCGCCCCUACAGUGUUUGCCUUUUGAAAUUCUGAAAGGCAGGUUAUAAAUAAAUUUCUUUCUUCUUCUUCUUUUUUUAAAUAGCUUGAUGUUAUCUGUUCUCACAUGUAUAAGCAGAGCUAUUCAUGUUUUGUGUCCUGUAUGCAAUACUCUCCCAGCAAUGACUGCCCUGCACUGGAAUGAAUCUGUCUUGUCUCUUUCGCUCACACAAGUCCAAGAAGCCUGUGAGGGCAGAGAUGGGUGCUCCUCCGUUGUUUGCUUUCAAUCUGUUUCCCUGAGUUCUCGAUCCUGAUACAGCAUCUUGAUAUACUUAAGUGAGCUGAAUUACAGGAUGAGAACUCUGGCUACAUCUAUGGUAUAAUAAAAAGCUAGGCGUUUCAAAGAUUUUGACAAGAACAGCAAAAUCAGUGAAUUCCAUUACAAUGAUUAAACAGUUGGACGUGUGGGUUUAAUGUGGAUGAUUUUCUGUUGUGGAAGUUUAGUGUUUACUCACUAUAUGAGAUGAGUACCUACUAAUAGGAAAACCAUUUUUUUUUUAAACUAGAUAAUCUCAGACCCAGGUAUUUUACCGUAUUCUUAAUUAUCUUUGUAAUGAAUUUUUCUUAAGUUUAGUAAAUUUGCUAUAUACUUACAUAAAAUUAUAUUUGUAAUUAUGUGUGGUCUUUGUGUUUUACCUGUGAUAUGUAUUUAUA
This is a long non-coding RNA of Lutra lutra (Eurasian river otter), 1395 nucleotides long. RefSeq lists it as uncharacterized. The transcript has 3 exons. Lineage: Eukaryota; Metazoa; Chordata; Mammalia; Carnivora; Mustelidae. The record is from RefSeq and is a predicted model, not a curated record.